GCGGUGACGGGCGCCGAGGCCCGGGCCACGGCGCGGCCUUCGGCGUCGCGGACGGUGGUCGUCAGCUCGGCGCCGCCGGCACCGCUC
RNAcentral lists this transfer RNA (87 nucleotides) under Amycolatopsis acidiphila. RNAcentral's name for it is "tRNA-Arg". The record is from RNAcentral. Lineage: Bacteria; Bacillati; Actinomycetota; Actinomycetes; Pseudonocardiales; Pseudonocardiaceae.